UAAGAAAGUAAGAUCCCUGAGAGAUGAUCAGGUAGAUAGGUCAGGAGUGGAAGUACAGUGAUGUAUGGAGCGGACUGAUACUAAUCGAUCGAGGACUUAACCAAUU
Molecule: ribosomal RNA, 106 nt
Filed under: Enterococcus faecium
Lineage: Bacteria; Bacillati; Bacillota; Bacilli; Lactobacillales; Enterococcaceae
Description: partial 23S ribosomal RNA
Rfam family: Bacterial large subunit ribosomal RNA
Source: RNAcentral